AAAAGAUUUUGAAUGCAGAUUGUAGUUGGAUUUUUCAACUGAUGAACUUGUUGAUCAUAACGUUCAUCUGGACCAGGUGUGGUCUUCAUCACUUCUUUAAGCUUUUCUUUCGCCUCUGUAAGGAGGGUGGUGGCUAAUUGUGUGUGUAAAAGGUCAAGACUCCAGUAAUGGUGUGGUUCAGUCAUUCCUUGUCUUAACAUUUGAUAGUCUCCUUCUACAGUGGCAGUUGUCAUUCCCCCGUCUGCGGUGGGAAUAAUGGCUAUUUUCAAAACUGUUAGGAGAUCUCUCCCCAAAAGAUUUAAUGGGCAGGAGGGAUCUACCAUGAUUGAAAUUUUGGUCUCCUGCCCGCUGUCUAAAUCUCUUAUCAUUGCAGGUUGAGUCAUGCGUUGUUUCAUGACAUGUCCAGAUGCUGAUCUAACCCAAAUGGUUUUGUUUGACAUUUUCAUUCCAGGAAAAGGUUGACGUACAACUGUAGUACAUGCUCCACUGUCACAUAGAAACAUGUAGGCUUUUCCAUUUAUUGUUAGUUUUCUCAUUGGUUCAGUAACUUGUUUGUCUUUUAAUAAACUAAAUAUAUCAAGCUGGACACGAGUAUCUGUCUCAGUGUCUGUUUUGUCAUCAAUUUCCGUUACAGGUGUGGCUUGUGGAUUUUGCUUUACAGCAUGAUUUUCAGUUCCUAUCACGCCUUCUCGUCAUGAAGUAUUUUGUGCGCUCAUUUUGCAGUCUUUGGCACGAUGCCCUGGCUUAUGGCAGACAAAGCAAUGGUUGUUUAGCCAGUCAUAAUGUUUUUGUGGUGUCAUUUCUUGUUGAGAGCGUUGCUGGGAAGAAUUAUAUCUUGAGCCUCUACCUCUCCCACGCCCUCUGCCUCUCCCUCUGCCUGGGAAGGAGGGGUGUCCUUGAUAAGCAAGAACAGUUUGUGCAUCAACAAGAAACACUGCUUUCUGUUCCUCUUUAUCUUUUUGUUGUUUUUCAAAAUGCUUGGCCUGCUCUACUGCCUGGGCCACAGUUCCUGUGUCUUGAUGCACCCAGUGCUUUUGCACUUUUUCUCUAGUUUGUGUUCUUAGACCUUUAAUGAAAAACAUUUUCAGUUGUUGUUGGUAAGCGCUGCCUGCCUCAUCAUUAUAUGGCACGCCAGAAUUCAAACGAUAGACCUUCUCUAACCUAUGUCUGUAAUCAGCAGCACUUUCUCCCUCUUUCUGGAUGGUUUCAGUUAUGGCAUUAAAAUUAGAUCGUUGCGGCCAUUCAUGUUCUAUGGCAGCAUACAGUACUUGUAAUUGUGCUGUCAAUUGCUGUGAAUCAUGUCUUAAAGCCUGACCAUUUGCUUCAGAGUCUGUAAAAUUGCCUCUAACUCGGUGCCAGUCGGCUGUUAGCACGUCCAUAAAACAGUCUGUGAGCUCAUGUCCAUUUAAUUUGUAACUUAGUCGUAUACCGUCCAUGUCACGUCUGAACUUGUCAGGGUCUACUUUGGGGUGUGGUAUGUCUUUUGUCGCUCUGCGUCUGUCAUGUGCGCUCCAUGGUCUGUAAACUAGCAUAGUCGGUUCUUGGUCCACUCGUGGUCUCCCAUUACCAUCUUGCUCACCCGUAGGCUGGCCAAACCUUGGGUUUGCAACUUCUAUGAGUGGACACUGUGGUCGUGCGGUCGGGUGUGGUCCACAGUCCUCACAGUCCUCUAUCUCUUCCUCAUACUCUUCUGUUCUCUUGCCCUUUUUCUUCUUUUUCGUUAUUUGAGAUAUUUCUGUUUUUAGAUCGACUUGGAGACGCAGGACAUCUUUAGUGUCCAGUUUUCCAGUGAAAUUAUGUUUUCUUAUCCAUCUUAUGCUUAUCUGGCCUGCUCCAGGGAGGCUUUUUCUCCAUGAACAGACCGUCCUUGGAUAAAGGUUGCGAUGAUUUACUCCCCAUGUUCUCUGUCUAUGUCAGAACACUCCAAUUUAAAUACUAUUUCUUCUGCUGUUUCUAGGUUAAUUUCUCUGUUAUUUACUAUUAUUCCACCGCUCUCAUAAAAUGUUCCAACUUGUAAAUCUACUAGUAGAGAGUUUAUUGACGGAGGGGUCCAGAAAUGUUCAGUUUUUAUUUCUCCGUCUUUAGAUACAAAAUGGAUAAUUACCAAACUCUUUUA
Long non-coding RNA from Amphiprion ocellaris (clown anemonefish), 2116 nucleotides. Lineage: Eukaryota; Metazoa; Chordata; Actinopteri; Pomacentridae. The record is from Ensembl.